UAAAAGUUAAUUUGAAUAAUAAAAAAGAUAAGUAUAUAAGUACAUGGAUAUCUAAGUGUAUAGAUAUAUAGUGAUAUAGAUAUAUAAGUAUAUGAAUAUAUAAGCAUAUAUUUAUUUUUUUUAUUUUUUUUUUUAAUUUAACCUUCUAAAAUAUUAAGGUGUAUGUCUUAUCUUUAAUUUAGGAGAAAAAUGAGUAACACUGAGAACGUCGAUAUAGAGAUACUGAAAUUUUUGCAAUGCGCAUUUAAAGAAGGCGUAAAAGUAAAAAGUGCAGCCGAAGUUGGAAAAAGGGCUGUGGAAUACUUCAGAGGCGAUGAUUUUGUUAAUUUUAUGAAUGAUAAAAAGGAAAUGAUAAAAAAGAAGUUUCCUAAUUUAUUUAGUAAUAAGAAAUUGGCUGAUUUAAAAGAUAUAGAAGAUUUUGCUGACAUGUUAAUACAAAAAGGAUAUAUAUAUAAAGCUCAAUAUAAGCCUAUUAAAGGAGUAAAUGAAACUGAUGAGAAUGGUGUAUACAAAAGACCUAAAUGGCCUAAAAGAUUAAUUAUGACAUCAAAACAAAAUUUUGAUAAAAAUGGUUUUUACAUUUUAGUACAUGAAAGAAAUGCUAGAUUGCAAUAUGUUAUGUUAAUAACAUUAAUAUCAAUUGUUUUGAUUUGUUGCAUGUUUCCGGUUUGGCCAUUAAAAUUAAAAUUAGCAUUAUGGCAUUUGUCAGUAGUAUUUAUAUGUUUAAUUUCUGUUAUAGUAAUAGGAAGGUUAUUAACCUUUUUAUUGUUUUGGUUUUUUGGAGUUGAUUAUUGGAUAUUCCCUAAUUUAUUUGAUGAAGAAUGUAAUGUAGUUGAAUCCUUUAUUCCUUUUCAUUCGUGGCAUUAUCGUAAUGACACUUGGUUUCUUGUUAUUGCUCGAGCAUUUACUGCUGUUUUAUUAGCUAUAGGUAUACAUCAAUUAGGAAAAACACACUCUAUAUCAGAUAUUCAGAAUUUUGCAACGCAGUCAUUUAUUGAUAUAAUCGAAUGGGGUAAUAAAAAAUUAUCUGAUACCCCUGAACAUGUGUCUAUGUAUAAAUCUCUAGACGCACAAGCAGCUUUUGACAUGAGCACUACUGAGGAAGAUGAAGUUGUUUAUGAUGAAAAUGAAGAAAACUAUGAUUGUUUAAAAAAAUGUGGGUUUCAAACGUUCCAGGAGUUAGUCAGGAAGUGUUUCUUAAAAUGUGAUUGUUUGGAGGUACGUUUUAUGUUUUUUAAAAAAAA
This 1244-nucleotide long non-coding RNA is filed under the name Piliocolobus tephrosceles (Ugandan red Colobus). Its description in RNAcentral is "lncRNA (ENSPTEG00000012681.1)". The record is from RNAcentral. Lineage: Eukaryota; Metazoa; Chordata; Mammalia; Primates; Cercopithecidae.